AAAGACUGUAAAACUAUAAUUUACAUCUCCUGAAUGCAAUUCAGAUACUUUAAUUAAGCUAAAACCUC
Molecule: transfer RNA, 68 nt
Filed under: Phelsuma grandis (Madagascar giant day gecko)
Lineage: Eukaryota; Metazoa; Chordata; Lepidosauria; Squamata; Gekkonidae
Description: tRNA-Ala
Source: RNAcentral